Molecule: ribosomal RNA, 430 nt
Filed under: uncultured bacterium
Lineage: Bacteria
Description: bacterial SSU rRNA
Rfam family: Bacterial small subunit ribosomal RNA
Source: RNAcentral
UCGAGAAUCAUUCGCAAUGGGCGCAAGCCUGACGAUGCGACGCCGCGUGUGGGAUGGAGGCCUUCGGGUUGUAAACCACUGUCACGGGGGAAGAAACGCAUGAACGCUAACAUCGUACGUGCCUGACGUUACCCCGAGAGGAAGCCACGGCUAACUCCGUGCCAGCAGCCGCGGUAAUACGGAGGUGGCAAGCGUUGUUCGGAAUUACUGGGCGUAAAGGGUGUGUAGGCGGCUGGUCGUGUUCGUUGUGAAAUCCCCCGGGUUAUCUGGGGAACUGCAUCGAAAACUGGCCGGCUUGAGUGCAGGAGAGGAGAUUGGAAUUUCUGGUGUAGCGGUGAAAUGCGUAGAUAUCAGAAGGAACGCCGGUGGCGAAAGCGGAUCUCUGGCCUGUAACUGACGCUGAGGCACGAAAGCCAAGGGAGCAAACGGG